This 407-nucleotide ribosomal RNA is filed under the name uncultured bacterium. RNAcentral describes it as "bacterial SSU rRNA". It matches the Rfam family "Bacterial small subunit ribosomal RNA", at positions 355 to 774 of the family's 1533-position model. The record is from RNAcentral.
UGGGGAAUAUUGCACAAUGGGCGCAAGCCUGAUGCAGCAACGCCGCGUGAGGGACGACGGCCUUCGGGUUGUAAACCUCUUUUGGCAGGGAAGAAGCGAAAGUGACGGUACCUGCAGAAAAAGCACCGGCUAACUACGUGCCAGCAGCCGCGGUGAUACGUAGGGUGCAAGCGUUGUCCGGAUUCAUUGGGUUUAAAGGGUGCGUAGGCGGGCUUGUAAGUCAGUGGUGAAAUCUCUCAGCUUAACUGAGAAACCGCCAUUGAUACUGCAGGCCUAGAGUAUAGAUGACGUUGGCGGAAUAUGACAUGUAGUGGUGAAAUACUUAGAUAUGUCAUAGAACACCAAUUGCGAAGGCAGCUAACGAAACUAUAACUGACGCUGAGGCACGAAAGUGCGGGGAUCAAACA